AUUGCAUAAUGCAGUAGCCACUGGAUUUGCAGCAGAAACACUCUGCUACAGAACAAGUGUCUUGGUUCACAGCAAAGAGGACAAAGAAAACAGCAAGUUUUAGGGGGUUGAAUCCUGGAUUCCCCUGGCAAACACCAUUCUACUUUCCGUCUCUAUGAAUUUGACUACUCGAAGUACCUCAUGUGAAAUGUUGGUGCCAAAUGAACUUUUCUGGUUCUUCUGAAUGUGGUGACCAGAUGGAUAUAAACGGGCUGUGGAAAAAGAGAAUGCAUGGCCAAAAAUGGUGGUGCUCUCUGUCCAAAAACUGAGGCCCUAUGACCAUGAAUGAAGCCAGAGGGCAGGUAGGAAUAGAUCAUUUGCUCCAGAAGAAGCUGGUUGCCAUGUCUUGAGGACAGUAAACCCUCUGGGGAGGUUCCUGUGGUAAGGAACAAGGGCUCCUGGCAAUAGCCUCUGAGUGAGCCACCUUGAAAAUGGAUUGUCCAGCCCCAGUCAAGCUUUCAGAUGACUGUAGCUCCUGCCAAUGUCUUCACCACAACCUCAUGAGAUCCCAAGCUACAACCACUCAGAACUUCAUCUUUUGGGAAGCACCAGGGAGAGCUGCCUGUGCCUGGCAGAAGCUGCCCAUGCCCCACUGAUACCCCACAGUACUUCCUGUUCUGCUUAGUACUCCUGCUUCUUUCUACAAACAACUGUGAUUCUCUACCUGGGAGCUUCCUCUGGCCACAGGAGCCUGCUCACCUGAUUGGGACACCCUAGCAGUACUGGCUCAUAGAUGGAAGGGACUUGCCUUGUCGCUGAUGAGACUUUCGACUUGGACUUUUGAGUCAAUGCUGGAAUGAGUUAAGACUUUGGGGAACUGUUGGAAGGGUGUGAUUGUGUUUUGAAUUGUGAGGACAUGAGAUUUUGAAGAGGCUAAUGGCAGCGUCCCCACCUAAAUCUCUUCUUGAAUUGUAGUUCCCAUAAUCCCCACGUGUCGUGGGGUGGAGCCGGUGGAGAUAAUUGAAUCAUGGGAACACUUUCCCCCAUGCUGUUAUUGUGAUUGUGAAUUCUCACGAGAUCUGAUGGUUGUAUAAACGCCUUCCCUCUUCGCUGGGCACUCAUUUUUCUCCUUCCUGCCACCAUGUGAAGAAGGAUAUGCUUGCUUCUUGUGCCAUGAUUGUAAGUUUCCUGAGGCCUCCCCAGCCAUGCUGAACUGUGAGUCAAUUGAACCUCUUUCCUUUAUAAAUUACCUAGUCUUGGAUAUGUUUUUAUUAGCAGUGUGAGACAGGACUAAUACACAAAGGAUUUGAAAUCACAAAGGAGCUGUUUUCUGCUCCACCAUGGAAGUCUCACAUGCAUCACAUCUAUUCAUAUCCAUUUGCCACAACUAGACAAAAAGUCCUUUUUAAAAUCUGCCUAGAGAUCAGGAAGUAUUAUCUCUGGAUGCCUAGGCAGGAGAGGUGAAUCAGAUAUUGGUGGGCACUAGUGUGUUCUAUGAUACAUAGCUUAAUAAAAAUAAGUUUCAGAUAAAUCUAAAUAUACAUUAGAAUACUGUAACCACAGUAGAAAAAAAUAUUGGCUCCUUUUUGUGAUAAACUAAUGAUGGUAAAUGCACCCUAUUUAAGCAAGAAAAGAAACUGAUCUGCCAUAAAGAAAACAAUGACAUAUUUAACUACAAAAUAUGUUACAAAAUAUUAAUAUCCCUAAUGGACAAAUGAGUUCCAAUAAAUGGAUAACAAAAAACCAAUAAGUCUGUAGAAAAAUGGAGAAAAUAUAUUUGCAGAAUAUUUAUACAGGUGGUAAUGAAAUUGACAAUGAUGUUUAUCAUCAGCAGUAAACAGUAAAAAGUUUCACCCACCAGGACUAUAGAAAUUUUUCAAAUGGAUAAUUUUCAGAAUCAGCAAAGUUAUAGAAAAGUAGGUACCAGUUGCACAUACCAUUGGAGGAAAUGUAAAAUAUAGUUACCUUGUGGAAAGUAAUCUGAUGUAAUAUAUUAAAAUUUUAUCCAUGUAUGUCCUAUAAUUCAGCAAUUCCAUGUUGGGGAAUCCAUACAAAGAAAUACUUAUACACAUGCAGAAGGAGCUAAGUUUAAGAAAGCACACAUUUCAGCGGGUUGUGGUGUCUCACCCCUGUAAUCCCAGCACAUUGGGAGGCCGAGGUUGGUGGAUCACCUGAGGUCAGGAGUUUGAGACCAGCCUGGCCAACAUGGUGAAACCC
This is a long non-coding RNA of Homo sapiens (human), 2196 nucleotides long. Ensembl annotates it as STXBP5 antisense RNA 1. Its record names the gene STXBP5-AS1. NCBI's taxonomy places the organism in Eukaryota, Metazoa, Chordata, Mammalia, Primates, Hominidae. The record is from Ensembl.